Molecule: long non-coding RNA, 514 nt
Organism: Triticum aestivum (bread wheat)
Lineage: Eukaryota; Viridiplantae; Streptophyta; Magnoliopsida; Poales; Poaceae
Exons: 3
Source: RefSeq, a predicted model, not a curated record
AACGCACGCACGCACGCAGUCGGCACUCAGAUCGCCCCUGUUUCUUCGUUCUGCCGCCGCCGACGCUUUCGAUCAGACAUGCCCAUGCCCUAUCUGGCUACUUGCCUGUAUCGAUUCCAGUUGAUCCAAGAAUCGAGGAAGAAGGGGGUGGCGAUCCAGAGACAACAGCUGCACGGGCGCGUGGCCGGCCGGUUAGGAUGAGCGGCGAAGAGGCAAGGAAGAAAGAUUAUCCGGAGUGCGAAGCUUGCUACUAUCAGUCGUUAGAGUUUGAAGGACAUCACCAAGUCAAGUCACAUUUGAUCAUAUGUUUGAGGUAUUUUCCGGCAGGAGUAAGGUCUACGUUCUCGGUGUUGCUCUUGGAGUCAGAUGGACUCAUCUACCUUCGUUGCUUCCGCAGUAGUUUUCUCUCAUGAGUUGGCCUUUAGCCAAUUUAUUAUUAUUGUAAUAAAGGUUCGAUAUGAGAUUUUUGAUGUAAUAAAGCAUGUGAUUGAACUUUGAUAUAUACAUUAAUGUA